UUACUAAAAAUAAUAAUUCUAUUAAGACUGUGAUCAUUGCUAUUGAAAAUAAUAAUUCUAUUACAAGCAUCUAUGACAACACUCAAUGAAAAAAAAAAACAUCUAUUGCAUCACUUAUUAUUAAUUCCCUCCACAAUAUUUCACUUAAUACUGCCAAAACAAAAUUUUUUUCUCUUUCUUUCUCAUAAAAUUAUCAAAACCCUUAUUGCGUUUUUCUCUUUCUCUUUUUUUUUUUUAAUUCAAAACUAAUUUCUCAGAUAAAUGAUAAAUUGAUAACCCAUUUCUCAGGUAAAUCAAAAACUGUUUCUCAGAUAUUUGAUUUUCGAAGCGUCUGUGUAGAAAUCGUUACUCAAGAGGGCAAUUUGAUUAGCUGUGACAAGGAAAUUGAAUUUUGAGGGUGAAAUUGGAAAUCAGGGAUUGAAGAAAUCGAAGCUUGUUGGGUACUACUGAAACUGGUGAUGAAGCUUGUUAAAUGAUUGGAUCCAGAGGAUAAACCUCCAGAAAGACAAGAUUUAAACGAAAGCACACUAGACUUGUCAUUGGGCUUCACAGAUCACGAGAAAAAACGAUGCUGACUUGAAAACCAAUUGGACAAAAGACGGUAAACUGGACAGAGUGAACUCCAAUAGCACCGGCUGAUGCUGCUCGUAUCAGUUGAGCCUCUUUAACUGCAUUAAUCCUUAAUUGGCUUUAAGAUCUGAACUCCACUAUUCUCGUCAUCACCAGCAAUACCAGGUACACCAACUCAACUACUCUCAUCAUCACAAAGAGUGGAUUCAAUGGGAUUAUAUGAUAGUAAGUCAAUGCCUAGAUGCAAGUGUUUGCCUUUGGAUGCACCACAUACUUGUCUCACACACUGACUUUGUUGAGCUGCGGUAGAUAAUAUGACUGCCCUGCUAGUAGUAGUUCUUGUGCUGUUGUAGUGGUUUCUAGAAAAGAUCAUGGCUUCUGAAUAUACCAUGUUCGGGGAAUUCUUCAGUGAUCACUCCACUGUAAUGGGAGCUAUUUGUAGUUUAUCAUUUUAUCUUGUAGUAAUUGCAGAGUUACAGAUUUCUGUAUAAUAAUUUAUCCUAAUUGUACUGUAAUGUAUAUCUAAUUCUAGAUUUUCGAUGUUA
This is a long non-coding RNA of Capsicum annuum, 1115 nucleotides long. RefSeq lists it as uncharacterized. The record is from RefSeq and is a predicted model, not a curated record. Lineage: Eukaryota; Viridiplantae; Streptophyta; Magnoliopsida; Solanales; Solanaceae. The transcript is spliced from 3 exons.